UUACGACCACAUUCACGUUGAAACACUGGUUCUAGUACGAUCACCGAAGUUAAGCAACGUCGAUCCUGGUCAGUACCUGCUGACCGCUUGGGAAUACCAGGUGCUGUAAG
Molecule: non-coding RNA, 110 nt
Organism: Acanthosepion pharaonis
Lineage: Eukaryota; Metazoa; Mollusca; Cephalopoda; Sepiida; Sepiidae
Source: the annotation of a GenBank genome assembly